GGAAAUGUUUUAUUUAAUCCAUUUUUAGAAUAAGGCUGUAACGUUACAAAAUGUGGAAAAAGUCAAGAGGUCUGAAUACUUUGUAUCAUACAGUGAAAAAUAAUUGUCAAAUAAAAAGGUUCAGCCCAGGUUCACAUACUGCACAAAGGUACGGCUGAGAUCCCACCUAGGUCCCCGGCCAAGAGAUGGGCCAGAUACAGGCUGCCCUACAGACCUUACAUGGGGCCAUGGCUGAGAUCCCACCUAGGUCCCCGGCCAAGAGGUGGGCCAGAUACAGGCUGCCCUACAGACCUUACAUGGGGCCAUGGCUGAGUUCCCACCUAGGUCCCCGGCCAAGAGGUGGGCCAGAUACAGGCUGCCCUACAGACCUUACAUGGGGCCAUGGCUGAGUUCCCACCUAGAUCCCCGGCCAAGAGGUGGGCCAGAUACAGGCUGCCCUACAGACCUUACAUGGGGCCAUGGCUGAGAUCCCACCUAGGUCCCCGGCCCAGAGGUGGGCCAGAUACAGGCUGCCCUACAGACCUUACAUGGGGCCAUGGCUGAGAUCCCACCUAGGUCCCCGGCCAAGAGGUGGGCCAGAUACAGGCUGCCCUACAGACCUUACAUGGGGCCAUGGCUGAGAUCCCACCUAGGUCCCCGGCCAAGAGGUGGGCCAGAUACAGGCUGCCCUACAGACCUUAAAUGGGACCACAAUUAACCAGCUAUACAAAAAUCUAAACGCAACGCGCAAGAAUUUCAAAGAUUUUACUGAGUUACAGUUCAUAUGAGGAAAUCAGUCAAUUUAAAUAAAUUCAUUAGGCCCUAAUCUAUGGAUUUCACAUG
Long non-coding RNA from Oncorhynchus tshawytscha (Chinook salmon), 822 nucleotides. RefSeq lists it as uncharacterized. The transcript has 3 exons. The record is from RefSeq and is a predicted model, not a curated record. NCBI's taxonomy places the organism in Eukaryota, Metazoa, Chordata, Actinopteri, Salmoniformes, Salmonidae.